Long non-coding RNA from Wyeomyia smithii (pitcher-plant mosquito), 2407 nucleotides. RefSeq lists it as uncharacterized. The record is from RefSeq and is a predicted model, not a curated record. Lineage: Eukaryota; Metazoa; Arthropoda; Insecta; Diptera; Culicidae. The transcript is spliced from 3 exons.
AGCAACCGGUCCGUACGCUGUGGUUUUUCAGUUUCGGGAUUUAGUGAUUUUCUGUUCAAAAAUCGAUUGUUUAGUUUGUUAAUACAUGUUAAAUCGCUUACCUGGAUCAUUAUUCAUUCGGAGUCAACGAAAGCCGUCCAAAUGCCUCGAAACUACAAAAGAAAAACAGACAGGAUGCAAUGGUCACAGCACAUUUUGACUGUAGCGAUAGCAGCCAUCAACAAUGGUAUGCCGGUGCGGAAAGCUUCCGUUAUUUAUGAUAUACCCAGAAGUACACUCCGAGACCAACUAAAAACACGGUUCUCACAAGAUAAUUCCAUAUUAAAUACUUCAUCAAUGCCAAUUAAUAAACUUGGCUCAAUCCGCCUUGUGUUCUCUGCAAUACAGGAGCAGGAAAUUGCACAACAUCUGCUUGAGCUUGAAAGCCGGUUCUAUGGUAUAAAUAUGCGCGACGUACGGGAGCUAGCUUUUGAGCUAGCAGUAAAAAACCACAUCCCUCACCCGUUCAACAUUACAAAAAAAACAAGCUGGACAGGAUUGGUUGAAAGGUUUCUUGUAACGCAAUCCUGUAAUUUCUUUCCGAAAACCAGAACCAACUUCAAUUGCCAGAGCGAGUGCUUUCAAUAAGCCUACAAUUUCGAAAUUUUUUGAUUUGUUGGAAAACGUGAUGAAACAGAAACAGUACCAACCGUCAAAUGUGUGGAAUGCUAAUGAAACAUCGAUAACAACAGUUCCACCGAAAAAAAAAGAUUGCGGCAAAAAAAGGAAAGAAGCAAGUCGGGGCAAUAACGUCCGCUGAGCGCGGAGAGACCAGCACUGCUACUAUGUGCAUGUCUGCAACUGGUCAUCAUAUUCCGCCUUUCAUAAUCUUUCUGAAACAGCGUAUGCGCGAUCAUUGGAAAGAGGGAGCACCGCCCGGUUCUGAGUUCACAGCUUCAAAAAAUGGAUACAUGACUAUUGACAUUUUUAACUUGUGGUUCAAUCAUUUUUUGAAACACGUUCGGCCCACGGCAAAUGCUCCAACGCUCCUAAUUCUUGAUAGACAUUCGUCUCACACGAAGAAUCUUGCAUUUACAGAGAAGGCGCGAGCAAAUAACGUCACGGUGGUAGUACCCCCGCCGCACUGCAGUCAUAGACUGCAGCCAUUGGACGUUUCUUUUAUGGCUCCUUUUAAAAUGUAUUAUAGUGAUGCCGCAGAAAAGCUCAUGCGCGAGAGACCAGAAAAAAACUAUAACUUUGAAUGAUAUUUCUGGACUAGUCAAUAUUGCAUUUAGUAAAGUCGCUACCACGAAAGUGGCAGUUAAUGGUUUCGAAAAGACGGGCUUAGUGCCAUUAAAUCGCAAUGUGUUCAGCGAUAACGAAUUUUCGCCUUCAACGGUAUCAGAUCGCCCACCAGCUCCAGAAGAACUCACGUUUGAUUGUAACAAUUCCCCGAGUACGCUCGACAAAGAAAUUGAGUGUUCGCAGAUCCAGUCAUGUGUCAUUGAUGAAGCAAACCCACAAAAUCUUGUAAAAUUGGAGCUGGCUACUCCAGAAAAGAAUGAAUCAGGAUUUUCUACUUCAUUCACGAUUUCGCCAAAUGAUGUUUAACCGCUGCCAAAAGUGGAACGUCCCAGAGAUAACAAACGAAAACGAGUUAGACAAAAAGCGGCUGAUAUUAAGAAGAAUUAAGAAAAUCUAAAAAAAGCAAAAGCAGAAAAAAGUAUCAAGGAAAUCGAGAAAGCACAAAAGCCAAAGACAAAAAAAGCAAAGUCUCUGAAGACUCUACCAGUGGAACAAGAUUCACUUUGCUUCCAGUGUGGGUCUAUUUUCUCUGAUUCUUGUGACGGGUUAGACUGGAUGAUGUGUUACAAAUGUGGCAAAUGGUUUCACGAAGACUGUGCUCAAACUACGCAGCGAGAUGAAGGAUAUUGUGGGUGCUGAAAAACUUGCAAAACAACCUAUGAACUCUAUUGAAAACUUCGAACACAUUCGCCUUUUUUUGAAUAAAAUUAAGCCGUUGCGUCAAGAUUACACAUUUGAGCCAAUAUUGCUUUCCAAAUGUUAUUUUGUAAAUUUGUUUACCGUUAAUAGGUAUUGAAUUCCAUCUAUUUAUUUCUUGUUGUUUUGUAUAAUCCAUAAUUUUCAAUAAAAAUUCACACAAAACAAAUAUUUGGUGUCCUAUGCCGGUUUUACCCCGUGGUUGGCGCUUUUACCCCGCCGAUGGGCGGGCUUACCCCGCCUGAAAAAAAUCUGCAAAUUUUCAAUUACGUAAUUUAUGGAUACUGCCUAAGAGGUUUUAGUGGAAUCGAUUAAAUUUUAACCCACUCCUUGAGCUCUACUCUCAGGUGUCUGUAAGCAGCUUUUUCCUCCGCAUUGCAAAAAGAAAAAGGUAAAAAAGCGCUGUGCAGAAAAUAAUGAGUGGUAU